GACGAACGCUGGCGGCGUGCUUAACACAUGCAAGUCGAACGGAAAGGCCCUGCUUUUGUGGGGUGCUCGAGUGGCGAACGGGUGAGUAACACGUGAGUAACCUGCCCUUGACUUUGGGAUAACUUCAGGAAACUGGGGCUAAUACCGGAUAGGAGCUCCUGCUGCAUGGUGGGGUUUGGAAAGUUUCGGCGGUUGGGGAUGGACUUGCGGCUUAUCAGCUUGUUGGUGGGGUAGUGGCUUACCAAGGCUUUGACGGGUAGCCGGCCUGAGAGGGUGACCGGCCACAUUGGGACUGAGAUACGGCCCAGACUCCUACGGGAGGCAGCAGUGGGGAAUAUUGCACAAUGGGCGGAAGCCUGAUGCAGCGACGCCGCGUGCGGGAUGACGGCCUUCGGGUUGUAAACCGCUUUCGCCUGUGACGAAGCGUGAGUGACGGUAAUGGGUGAAGAAGCACCGGCUAACUACGUG
This 468-nucleotide ribosomal RNA is filed under the name uncultured bacterium. RNAcentral's name for it is "partial 16S ribosomal RNA". It matches the Rfam family "Bacterial small subunit ribosomal RNA", at positions 28 to 507 of the family's 1533-position model. The record is from RNAcentral.